CGGGACGGGACGUCUCCGUUCCCUCCUUCAGGGAAUGAGGGUUACAAUAGGUAACCGAUAUGCUCCCUUUCAGUCGGUCACUCUCAACAUCACGUUGGAUGACCGAUGAAUUGGGAUCCCUACCAAAGAGCCACAGCGACUGCCCCUUUCAGUGUCCUGUGAAAGCCACCUGCACCCCUAUUUUCUGGCACAGGCCAGGGCUCAGCACAAGAAGACCAGCUACCGCUACUAUGGCAAUACCUACUCAGUAAGACUAGAUAACACUGGGAAAACAUACCCGCUCCACUUGGAACAGGGACGCUGCGGAAGUCCACAGCCUUCCCGAAGGAGGUUUCGGAAGCAAUUACACAUAUGAACAACCGUUAGGUGUAUAUGGAAGAUCGGAGGUGAUUGUAACUCUCUUAGAAUUGGCAGAAGUCUGCCGGGGAAACAUGAGCUCUGAGGCUAUACCAUGGACUUUACACAUAUGGGAUCCACUAAGGCCUCUACAUAUGGAACCCAGUCCUCUACCAGUUCUCGCGGAUUCAUAGAGUGAGGGCCUGGCACCGGACGCUCUGCCACGUCUGGCUCCCGAGGGGACGGAGGAGCUCAACAGGGUCUAUUGUAUGGACUCUCUGGAGCAGUUUAAGCAGUGCUUCUACCCGUUUGAGACACCAGAAAAUUUCAAUGUGACCUUGUGGUGCUCUGCAUUUAGCCCAUCCAAGUGCCCACACACAGCAGUGAGAAGUGAACACACCGUGAACACACACUCGGAGCAGUGGGCAGCUAUAUAUCCAGCACCUGGGGAGCAACUGGGGGUUCAGUGCCUUGCUCAAGGACACUUCAGCCAUGGGUAUUGAGGGUGGAAGAGAGCGCUGUUCAUUCACUCCCUCCCACCUACAACUUCUACCAGCCCCGAGACUCAAACCUCCAACCUUCGGGUUACAAGUCCAAAUCUCUAACCAUUAGGCCACAGCUUCCCCAUGACACUAAUAAUGUAAAACAUAAUGACACUAAUUUGUGGAGAUUCAGUGCAUUGUGAGUUCCACAAGCCUGAACACAUUAUUUGAAAAUUUACUGUUAAGAUAAAAUUUUUGCAGUUUAUUAUCUGUAAUACCAUUGUGUAGCCACUAGAUGCCUGUAUAACACAAGUAACAAUGCCUAAUACCUAAGAAAUUGUCAUCACACAUAAAUUAAUUUCAUUACUUAGAUUUGGAAAUGCCUACAUGUUUAGUUAUCAUCAGUGACUACUUGUUUUCUUUAUCUGUUUUUUGUUUAAUUGUUUUGCAAUUUUGGCGAAUCUGAGCUGUACGCAGGCAGCGUAUGCUCUUCUGUGUCAGCUGCGCCACAAGGAUAUGUUUUCUACAUAUAUUUACAAUUUUAUUUAAAAGAAAACAGCAGAACCUGUGUCGCAGCUGACACAGAAGAGCGUACACUGUCUGUGUACAGCUCAGAUUUGCCCUAUAUGGUGCUACGCUGAGGUGGAGUGACACAGAGAAGACAAAUUAUUGAAUAAAGUCAUUAUUUUUGUUUUAUUCGCA
This is a long non-coding RNA of Cyprinus carpio (common carp), 1520 nucleotides long. The record is from Ensembl. Lineage: Eukaryota; Metazoa; Chordata; Actinopteri; Cypriniformes; Cyprinidae.